Bactrocera oleae (olive fruit fly) is the source of this 995-nucleotide long non-coding RNA. RefSeq lists it as uncharacterized. Lineage: Eukaryota; Metazoa; Arthropoda; Insecta; Diptera; Tephritidae. The record is from RefSeq and is a predicted model, not a curated record.
GCUUCGAAGCAGCUGAAGUUAACGUCUUUCUUCUUUAAUAAGUUAUGUUGCAGUCUGCAAGAUCUGAAAGUUUUUCGAAAACGACGAAAGCAUGAGAUACUUUUUGAGACAUAUUUAGAUCUCUUGUCUUCAAAAUGUAAAGCGGACUAAGCGACUGAAAUAAUUGUAUUUACAUUUAAGCUAUGAAUACUCACCAAAAGAAAAAUCGUCAGCUCCGCAAUCUGCCUCAAGCAAAUGUGGCCAUUACAAUGGUGACUUUUUGUAAAAUUACAACGAAAACUUGUGACAACAGUGUGUGAUAGAUAUCAUAAGUGAAGAAAUAAAAAUGAUAAUGAUAUAAAACCAUUUUAUAUGAAAUUUCCAAAUGGAAUUAAUAACACUGCGCUUAGAGAAUGUCGUUUAAGUGCGUCUGAUUCUAUAAAAAGGCCUAUUUGAACUACUUUGAGAAUAAAAUACAUAGAACAUAACUGACGGAUAUGCGUCGAUCUAAAAACUUUCUUUUGGGUCAACAAGAAGGAUAUACCAAAUAGCCGAGCCAAGACAGAUCACUGCAGUAAAAACGUUUGAUCUUUGAGAGUGAAUUUGGUGCGGCUAGUAUGAAUGUGAUGAAUGCCCCUCUCGUAACCAGAGACCGUAUUAUAUUACCCCCUCUACAUAUAAAGUUAGGUCAGGGAACUAAUAAAGAACCAACAAUUUACUGAUUGUAUGACAGGUAAGAAGAAAUCUGCGGGGAUUGAUUUAUUAGGGUUGUGCAAAAUUUCUUAGAGACUAGGAUGUAACACAAACAUCAAGUUGGAACUCCUCUUCAACCAUUUAGAAGAAGAAGAAGAAUAACGCUUUAGUCAGGUAUCAGGUCUCAGUGAUAUCGCCAGAAUUAAUGUAUUUGGAAGGAAUAAAAUCAAUCACACGUUACUUGCUCCUAAAGAAGCUGCUUAUUUGUCGGAAACGCUGAUAUUGGACCACUAUAUCAUAUAGCUGCCAUACAAACUGAACGA